ACUCCUGCGGGAGGCAGCAGUGGGGAAUUUUGGACAAUGGGCGAAAGCCUGAUCCAGCAAUGCCGCGUGUGUGAAGAAGGCCUUCGGGUUGUAAAGCACUUUUGUACGGAAAGAAAUCCUUGGCUCUAAUACAGUCGGGGGAUGACGGUACCGGAAGAAUAAGCACCGGCUAACUACGUGCCAGCAGCCGCGGUAAUACGUAGGGUGCGAGCGUUAAUCGGAAUUACUGGGCGUAAAGCGUGCGCAGGCGGUUUGCUAAGACCGAUGUGAAAUCCCCGGGCUCAACCUGGGAACUGCAUUGGUGACUGGCAGGCUGGAGUAUGGCAGAGGGGGGUAGAAUUCCACGUGUAGCAGUGAAAUGCGUAGAGAUGUGGAGGAAUACCGAUGGCGAAGGCAGCCCCCUGGGCCAAUACUGACGCUCAUGCACGAAAGCGUGGGGAGCAAACAGGAUUAGAAACCCCAGUAGUCCCAUGA
Molecule: ribosomal RNA, 474 nt
Filed under: uncultured organism
Description: partial 16S ribosomal RNA
Rfam family: Bacterial small subunit ribosomal RNA
Source: RNAcentral